AUAGAGACUCAGAGCUGCAUAUCAAUAAGCGGAGGAAAAGAAACUAACAAGGAUUCCCUUAGUAACGGCGAGUGAAGCGGGAAGAGCUCAAAUUUGAAAUCUUCAAGGUUCUACCUUGACGAAUUGUAGUUUAUAGAAGUGUUUUCUGUUAGUAGGAGUGGUAAAAGUUCUUUGGAAUAGGACAUCAUAGAGGGUGAGAAUCCCGUAUUUGGAUCAUUCUUUCUAGCUUUGUGAUACACUUUCAAAGAGUCGGAUUGUUUGGGAAUGCAGUCCAAAAUGGGUGGUAAAUUUCAUCUAAAGCUAAAUAUUGGCGAGAGACCGAUAGCGAACAAGUACCGUGAGGGAAAGAUGAAAAGAACUUUGAAAAGAGAGUUAAACAGUACGUGAAAUUGUCAAAAGGGAAGCGUUUGACACCAGUGUUGUUUUUCCGAAAAUCAAUUAAAAAUGGUGGGAUGUUGUGUUGUAUUGACUUUAUCAGCUUUCUGCACUUUUUUUCCUAUCUUUUUUAAUGCACUUUUCGUUUAACAAGUCAACAUCAAUUUCUUUUGUUGUAAAAGAGUCAUUGGAAGGUGGCUUUCUUUUCGGAGAAAGUGUUUAUAGCCUUUGGCUUCUGCAAUCGGAGAGAUUGAGGUCUGCAGCGUAGAUCCUUCGGGGUUAGAUACAUUUGUGCUAAGUUAUAGCCUUUCAUAGACAACUUGUUGACUAUGAUCAGUCAUGUAGCUUACUCGCUUAUGUCAUUUUACCUACGCUUAGGAUGUUGACGAGACUGUCGAUCU
This 776-nucleotide ribosomal RNA is filed under the name uncultured Neocallimastigales. Its description in RNAcentral is "partial large subunit ribosomal RNA". It matches the Rfam family "Eukaryotic large subunit ribosomal RNA", at positions 23 to 646 of the family's 3401-position model. The record is from RNAcentral. Lineage: Eukaryota; Fungi; Neocallimastigomycota; Neocallimastigomycetes; Neocallimastigales.